AACCCGUGUUGUGGACACUUCCAUAAGGGUCCUUGAAUCGCUCCCAAGUCUCAAACAAGGAUUCAAGCUCCAUUUGAAUAAACGAAUAUAUUUCAUUAUGAAGCU
Molecule: small nucleolar RNA, 105 nt
Organism: Dioscorea cayenensis subsp. rotundata (Guinea yam)
Lineage: Eukaryota; Viridiplantae; Streptophyta; Magnoliopsida; Dioscoreales; Dioscoreaceae
Source: RefSeq, a predicted model, not a curated record